CUUGCCAAGACGGUGAACUAGCAUGUAUGCAAUUUUUACAAAUUUCUCCUGAAAGUUAAGUGUGUAUGAGUGUGUUUGUGAAGGAUUUGCAUCGUUUUUUUUUCUUUCCUGGUGUAAAAUCCUGUAAAUGUUAAACUUGUAAAUAGUUAAAUAUAAAAUACUUGCGUUCGCUGAUUAUUUAAUUGGAUAUGAAUUGAAUAUAUUUGGCAACUUUAGAAGAUACGCACGUGAUCGGUGGGGGAGGGGAGCAACGGUUAGCGUCUGAUACCAGAGAAAAGCAUCAUCAGUCUCUGUGAAUAAAACGGAUAUUAUCUCAAAUAUAAUCUCGAUUACAGAUUGCAGAUAACGAGGAUAUGAAGAACACGAAGAUGGACUGGAUUCGCAUGCAGAUGUUGCAGCAUCUGCAUCUGAUGUUGAGAAGACACUCAAUCUACCUGCCAAUCCUCAUCUGAUUUUGCUGGGUUAGUGUGUCAUUGCACAUGAUGAAGAAGAAACAUUUACUGAUGGCUGAGAUAUAAAAUUGUUAACAUUGCUGUUGUGCACAAUUGUUAAAAUUGCUUCUUCUUUUUUUCUUUUUUUUUUGUGAGUGUCUAGUCAACAUUUUUGACUGCAGUUGCAAGUGUUUGCUGUGCACUACAUCUUCAAUCUGCAGUAUCAAGAGGAGGCCUGUUGCACGUUAGAGUUUUUUCAAAGUUUUUUCAGUUCAUCAUCUGAAACACUGUCAAAUGUGGUUUUAUUCGCAUGCCAGACACGGAGAAAAUAGGAGAAAGGCAUGUAGAUCCACAUUAAAUCCAAACGAGUCAGAAUAUAUAUAUAGAUCGUUUGCAAAUGAUUUAUAAGUGCUUUAUUACUUUAUACUUAUUAUAAAGUUUUACAAAAUUAAUCUAAAUUCUAAACCAAAUUAAUUAAUCAGAAUUUUGAAAAAUGGUUAUUAUACA
Molecule: long non-coding RNA, 938 nt
Organism: Carassius gibelio (silver crucian carp)
Lineage: Eukaryota; Metazoa; Chordata; Actinopteri; Cypriniformes; Cyprinidae
Exons: 4
Source: RefSeq, a predicted model, not a curated record